GCUACCAUGCAGUCGAACGAUGAAGCCGGAGACUUGCUUUGUGUGGAUUAAUGGCGAACGGGUGAGUAACAUCGUGAGCAACCUGCCCUGGACUCUGGGAUAAGCGCUGGAAACGGCGUCUAAUACUGGAUACGAGACGUGGCCGCAUGGUCAACGUUUGGAAAGAUUUUUCGGUCUGGGAUGGGCUCGCGGCCUAUCAGCUUGUUGGUGAGGUAAUGGCUCACCAAGGCGUCGACGGGUAGCCGGCCUGAGAGGGUGACCGGCCACACUGGGACUGAGACACGGCCCAGACUCCUACGGGAGGCAGCAGUGGGGAAUAUUGCACAAUGGGCGGAAGCCUGAUGCAGCAACGCCGCGUGAGGGAUGACGGCCUUCGGGUUGUAAACCUCUUUUAGCAGGGAAGAAGCGUGAGUGACGGUACCUGCAGAAAAAGCGCCGGCUAACUACGUGCCAGCAGCCGCGGUAAUACGUAGGGCGCAAGCGUUAUCCGGAAUUAUUGGGCGUAAAGAGCUCGUAGGCGGUUUGUCGCGUCUGCUGUGAAAUCCCGAGGCUCAACCUCGGGCCUGCAGUGGGUACGGGCAGACUAGCAGUGCGGUAGGGGAGAUUGGAAUUCCUGGUGUAGCGGUGGAAUGCGCAGAUAUCAGGAGGAACAGCCGAUGGCGAAGGCAGAUCUCUGGGCCGUAACUGACGCUGAGGAGCGAAAGGGUGGGGAGCAAACAGGCUUAGAUACCCUGGUAGUCCACCACGUACACGUUGGGAACUAGUUGUGGAGUCCUUUCCACGGAUUCCGUGACGCAUCUAACGCAUUAAGUUCCCCGCCUGGGGAGUACGGCCGCAAGGCUAAAACUCAAAGGAAUUGACGGGGGACCCGCACAAUCGGCGGAGCAUGCGGAUUAAUUCGAUGCAACGCGAAAAAACCUUACCAAGGCUUGACAUACACGAGAACGGGCCAGAAAUGGUCAACUCUUUGGACACUCGUGAACAGGUGGUGCAUGGUUGUCAUCAGCUCGUGUCGUGAGAUGUUGGGUUAAGUCCCGCAACGAGCGCAACCCUCGUUCUAUGUUGCCAGCCCUUUAUGGUGGGAACUCAUGGG
Molecule: ribosomal RNA, 1093 nt
Filed under: Microbacterium sp.
Lineage: Bacteria; Bacillati; Actinomycetota; Actinomycetes; Micrococcales; Microbacteriaceae
Description: bacterial SSU rRNA
Rfam family: Bacterial small subunit ribosomal RNA
Source: RNAcentral